Long non-coding RNA from Gallus gallus (chicken), 1106 nucleotides. The record is from Ensembl. NCBI's taxonomy places the organism in Eukaryota, Metazoa, Chordata, Aves, Galliformes, Phasianidae.
CGGCGGCACCGGGCGGGCCGGGCCGGGGCGGCUCCGGUACCGGGGGCGGGCGCCGCUCUUUGACCCUCGGGUUGGUCGGGGAGCCCGGUUUUGUCGGGAAAGCCGGAUCCGCGCCGGGAUGCGGACAAAGACACGGAGCAGCUGUUCGGGAAUAAAGCUGAAAUAGUAGAACCUGGGAGAGAAGUUAGCUUGGGGGAGCUAUUAUUUUCGCCGCAAAACCCUCGGGAGGUAUUAAACAGCUGCAUCCAAACGACGGAGCGACCCAAAGGCCGGGAUCCCACCGCCUCGCCGUCGAGCAGCGGGCGCGUGGCUCAGCGCACGGCCGCAGGUUCCUCUGCAAAGAGCAGCGUAGCAGAGCGGUUGGGAGAGCUGUGCUGGACAGAGGACGGCCGGCCGCGAGCGGAGCCUCCCACCGGCGAGCAUUGCCAGGCGAGGAGAGAAAACCUGGGCAGCCUUAAAACACUCAGAGUGUAAUGUGACGCUUCCAAACCUUUGCAGCCUGCGCACACACGCAGUCUUCCUCAGGGGUCCCCAAAAGGAGUUGUGCCACUCCCUGAGCAUCCCCCAGCCCAGCAUGGUGUUGGGAUGCAGGCAGAAGCCUCGGUGGGUGCAGGGCUGUGCCAGGAGCAGCCACCGUUUCUACUGCAGAUGUGAACAGGGGGUGCCCAGCUGGGUGGAAGGGCGAAAGUCUGCUCGAGGAGCCUGAAGACGCACCAUCCCCACUUAUCGCCCCAGAGGCAGGCUAUCUAGCUGACAAGCUGUGCGGUGAAAAACCAGGUGCCCAUGUGCCUGCUGCUCACCCAAGGCCUGAAAGGGAUCAGCUGCUCAUUUUGCAGAGCAAAGUAAGAUGGCAACAAGGAGUGCUUUCCUGGUGCCAGAUUUCAUCUGAAAUUGGUCCUAUGCUGAACAAGUUGGGGCCACUGAGAAGCAGAAAGUGGAUGAAGCAAGAUCCUAAAAGGGAAAGACCAAUGUUUUAUUUACUACAAUAAACCCUAAACCCAGGUUUAUCACUAACUAGUCGUAUUUUCUGUUUGUGUUUGUCUUUGUGGUUUGACAUUUGCUCAUGCUGUGAUAGCUUCAUCAAAAUACAUUUUUUAGAAAAAGCA